GUUCAUUUUGUGAAUUUGUUGUUCAUUUCCCUUAUGGAAUUGGAUUUUUGGUUCGAUUUAACUUCCAAUCGGUAUCUCAUUCUAUGGAACUGGAGAAGUUAGUGUACAACUUGAACGGACAGGGACGAGAGUUUUUACGUGGAAUACGGAUGCAUGGGGUUAUGGCCCUGGGAUCACAUCCUUGUACCAAUCUCAUCCUUGAGUACUAGCUGUUCUUCCAAGCGGUGAGGCACUAGGAGUUCUUGGCGAUACUACGAGACGAUGUGAGCUACAUGUGAACUUUGGAUUCCUGAUUUGUGUCUUUUUCAUGUAUAUGACUGUCAAAUGUUUAGUGAUUCUAAGUCAAUUGGUUUUGGUUAGGUAGAUUGAUUUGCAGAAAGAAUUAACUAUAAAGUUCAUCUCUCCAUCACCGUUUCCUGUCAUUACAUUUGCUCCAUAUGCUUCACCAACCAGUGUUUUGAUAUCUUAUCUCAUGCAGUUGGUAAUCUCGUCGAGCGCUUGAUAGUUGUUCCAUUACAUGUUCAAUAUGAACUUUUUGAAUGCAUUCUUUGGCACAGAUGCAGAUAGAGUGCCUGCAUAUUAAUAUACGUCGUUGAUUCUAUUCUCGCUAUUUCUCAGAUG
Rhododendron vialii is the source of this 621-nucleotide long non-coding RNA. RefSeq lists it as uncharacterized. NCBI's taxonomy places the organism in Eukaryota, Viridiplantae, Streptophyta, Magnoliopsida, Ericales, Ericaceae. The record is from RefSeq and is a predicted model, not a curated record. The transcript is spliced from 2 exons.